Molecule: long non-coding RNA, 245 nt
Filed under: Lathyrus oleraceus (garden pea)
Lineage: Eukaryota; Viridiplantae; Streptophyta; Magnoliopsida; Fabales; Fabaceae
Description: Pisum sativum (pea) long non-coding RNA (PSAT_LNC012162)
Source: RNAcentral
AACUGUCUCAUUGUAAGAAAGCCCAAGAGUAAGCUAUGUGAGGUUGAUGGCGAUGCUUAAAAGCAAUCGACUUACAAGGGUAUGGAAAUGGGGACUCGACGUCGAAAUGUGAGGUUGAUGGCGAUGCUUAAAAGCAAUCGACUUACAAGGGUAUGGAAAUGGGGACUCGACGUCGAAUCGAGAAUUAAGUGAUAUUUAUCAUUAUUAUUUUUUGAAUGGUUUUUUUCUUUUUAUCAAUGAAAUUG